Hypomontagnella submonticulosa is the source of this 117-nucleotide non-coding RNA. NCBI's taxonomy places the organism in Eukaryota, Fungi, Ascomycota, Sordariomycetes, Xylariales, Hypoxylaceae. The record is from the annotation of a GenBank genome assembly.
GGCCCGGUCGUGCAAUGGUAGCACGCGCUUAGCACGCACUCCUGGGUCCUCCGACCUUCAGUUGAGAUACGUCGCAUUAAGAUUUAAAAGGUGUGGGUUCGAAUCCCGCCCGGGUCC